AUGCUUGCUUCAACAGCACAUAUGCUAAAAUUGGAAUAAGACAGAGAAAAUUAGCAUGGCCCCUGCACAAGAAUGACGUGCAAAUUCAUGAAGCGUUCCAGGUUUUC
Camelus dromedarius (Arabian camel) is the source of this 107-nucleotide small nuclear RNA. Lineage: Eukaryota; Metazoa; Chordata; Mammalia; Artiodactyla; Camelidae. The record is from Ensembl.